ACAUUGGUGGUUCAGUGGUAGAAUUCUCAUCUUCCAUGAGGGAGACCCUGGUUCGAUUCCUCUCCAGUGUA
This 71-nucleotide transfer RNA is filed under the name Loxodonta africana (African savanna elephant). It matches the Rfam family "tRNA". From Rfam's summary of the family: Transfer RNA (tRNA) molecules are approximately 80 nucleotides in length. Their secondary structure includes four short double-helical elements and three loops (D, anti-codon, and T loops). The record is from Rfam by way of RNAcentral. Lineage: Eukaryota; Metazoa; Chordata; Mammalia; Proboscidea; Elephantidae.